ACCGAGCCGAGUCAACGAACAGAGACUAAGCGAGAUUAUCACCUACUUCGCUGUCGUUUUCAGCCUCAGUGGCGGCCACUGUUGCGGUAGAGUCUAAGCUACUGCCCGGCGAGGUUCGCCCAUCUUGCCCGAAACUAAGAUGAUUCGCCGCAUGGAGGCGCUGCUAGCACCACCACCAACGGUGGGGCUCCAGCGGCCGCACCUGUCUGCACGACCGCCACUCAACACACACUCACCCGUAUCACAAUAUUACCACGAUAUCUUACCGUGUUUCCUAAGAGUAACAAAGAGAUAACUAACCUACCUACAGCUUGUCGAACAAAGACCGAAACCUUACUGCCUAAACGAAUGACGUAGAGGAGAGAGGGCUAUGAUCACCGCGGUUUUCUCGACGAGUUUCGGCGUCGCGCAGUUGGCAGGCAUGCGAAUGAACGAGCACGACAGAGACCAGUUACCAACAGCGUUACUUGACUGACGAAGAACAAAAAUGAAGGACGAUACGAGGGAAUAGAAUGAAAAAAGAAAAGAGAGGAAAAAACGGACGACAGACAGUGGCGGGUGGUACACUCACCCCCGUAUACGCGACCGUUUGCGAUACGACAAUAAACCUAUGUACCAUAUGCCCUCUUAUGUAGAAAUCCUACCUGAAAUAUACAUAUAUAUACAUCUACAAA
This is a long non-coding RNA of Osmia bicornis bicornis, 674 nucleotides long. RefSeq lists it as uncharacterized. Lineage: Eukaryota; Metazoa; Arthropoda; Insecta; Hymenoptera; Megachilidae. The transcript is spliced from 2 exons. The record is from RefSeq and is a predicted model, not a curated record.